This 1337-nucleotide ribosomal RNA is filed under the name uncultured bacterium. RNAcentral describes it as "bacterial SSU rRNA". It matches the Rfam family "Bacterial small subunit ribosomal RNA", at positions 28 to 1387 of the family's 1533-position model. The record is from RNAcentral.
GACGAACGCUGGCGGCGCGCCUAACACAUGCAAGUCGAACGAGUGAGAGAGAGCUUGCUUUCUCGAGCGAGUGGCGAACGGGUGAGUAACGCGUGAGGAACCUGCCUCAAAGAGGGGGACAACAGUUGGAAACGACUGCUAAUACCGCAUAAGCCCACGGUGCCGCAUGGCACAGAGGGAAAAGGAGCAAUCCGCUUUGAGAUGGCCUCGCGUCCGAUUAGCUAGUUGAUGAGGUAACGGCCCACCAAGGCAACGAUCGGUAGCCGGACUGAGAGGUUGAACGGCCACAUUGGGACUGAGACACGGCCCAGACUCCUACGGGAGGCAGCAGUGGGGAAUAUUGCACAAUGGGGGAAACCCUGAUGCAGCGACGCCGCGUGGAGGAAGAAGGUCUUCGGAUUGUAAACUCCUGUUGUUGGGGAAGAUAAUGACGGUACCCAACAAGGAAGUGACGGCUAACUACGUGCCAGCAGCCGCGGUAAAACGUAGGUCACAAGCGUUGUCCGGAAUUACUGGGUGUAAAGGGAGCGCAGGCGGGAAGACAAGUUGGAAGUGAAAUCUAUGGGCUCAACCCAUAAACUGCUUUCAAAACUGUUUUUCUUGAGUAGUGCAGAGGUAGGCGGAAUUCCCGGUGUAGCGGUGGAAUGCGUAGAUAUCGGGAGGAACACCAGUGGCGAAGGCGGCCUACUGGGCACCAACUGACGCUGAGGCUCGAAAGUGUGGGUAGCAAACAGGAUUAGAUACCUGGGUAGUCCACACCGUAAACGAUGAUUACUAGGUGUUGGAGGAUUGACCCCUUCAGUGCCGCAGUUAACACAAUAAGUAAUCCACCUGGGGAGUACGACCGCAAGGUUGAAACUCAAAGGAAUUGACGGGGGCCCGCACAAGCAGUGGAGUAUGUGGUUUAAUUCGACGCAACGCGAAGAACCUUACCAAGUCUUGACAUCCCUUGACAGGCAUAGAAAUAUGUAUUCUCUUCGGAGCAAGGAGACAGGUGGUGCAUGGCUGUCGUCAGCUCGUGUCGUGAGAUGUUGGGUUAAGUCCCGCAACGAGCGCAACCCUUAUGGUCAGUUACUACGCAAGAGGACUCUGGCCAGACUGCCGUUGACAAAACGGAGGAAGGUGGGGAUGACGUCAAAUCAUCAUGCCCUUUAUGACUUGGGCUACACACGUACUACAAUGGCGUUAAACAAAGAGAAGCAAGACCGCGAGGUGAGCAAAACUCAGAAACAACGUCCCAGUUCGGACUGCAGGCUGCAACUCGCCUGCACGAAGUCGGAAUUGCUAGUAAUCGUGGAUCAGCAUGCCACGGUGAAUACGUUCCCGGGCCUUGCACA